AUGCCUCCUCCACCUCCAAGCGAUGGCUAUAUAUCUCUGGCAUCCUGCUCGCCACCGUCUACGCCGCACCCCACGGCUGCCUCUUUUCUGGUGAAGAUGGAGCUCUGUGAGCAGUGUGUUUGUUUUCUGGUGACCAACGAUGUUCUUGAGAGGACACACUCCCAUCUCACUGGCAAGCAGCACAUUGGUUAUGGUCCGGUUAGGGAUUUCCUUUUCGAAUAUAAGGCUGCAAGAGAGCGGAGAGGUUUGCAAGGUAGGCUUUUUGACUUGGUUGGAGCAACCAAAGGAUAUGCCCCAAGAUCCACGAUCCAGCCCUCAAUCAAAGUUAUGCUGCCCGUCUUCUGUGCUUCUUCUCUCGCCUCCUUAUACAACACACUUGAUGAGCCCGAGUCGGAGGUGUGCCGUGAGCAAGGCGUGCGUCUGGCAGCGCCUGCCCUCUACGCGUCUGGCAGAUUAUUUUCUCUUGCUCAACAAGAGAUGGUAGGUCAAGGUGGAAAAACCAAACCUUGGAAGUCACAGGUUCCAUGGCCUUGGCGGUUGUCAUCAUCUAGAGAGAGAGGUUCGAUCCGUGGGAUGUGA
This 579-nucleotide ribosomal RNA is filed under the name Triticum aestivum (bread wheat). Its description in RNAcentral is "partial small subunit ribosomal RNA". The record is from RNAcentral. Lineage: Eukaryota; Viridiplantae; Streptophyta; Magnoliopsida; Poales; Poaceae.